UUAAAAUUAUUUCCAGAAAUAGAGGGUGCAAGAGCGCCCCUUGUCUUAUGAAUUUGCUACUUCAAGGAGGCCACAUUUAAUGCUCAUGCGUGAAGAAAAGCGUCUCCGAGAACAAUAUUGAAAGUGGGAGGCAGUUUCAGCGCCAUCUGCCCUCGGACUCGGAUCAGUACGAAUUAAAAUUGGUCACGUGACAAGGAGUUGACGCCAUGGAAAACUAUGUGCGCGAGCGCAGUUUCAGAUACAAAUUUCCUGCUUUAAAUAGUCUACAUGUGCCUAUUUUACUUCUAAUUAAACGACGAUAUCGUUGUGUGUUGCAACAAUGACAGUUAACAUUAGAAAGUUACAGAAUGGAUGAUGUAUAAACGGAUGAUUAGAAUAGGAGAAUCUUAUCUAUUAUUUAUGUCCUGCUCCUGGAAAUUAAUAUAAUUUUCUUUAAAAACAAAAUAACACAAAGAACGAUGAACUAUAUAUGCAAGCAGUUAUGUCAAACUGUAUCAGAAUUUGUGCACUUUGGACUCCCGUUAUCCCGGAAUUAUUUACAAAUCUUUUUUCUGGUGCACACAACAUUAAUUGCACAUUUUCGCGCUAAGGAACACGGAGUAGCACGUUGAAAUGACCCACCAAUGCUCUAAGCUCCGACAAAGGUUUUCUUCUUUUCUUUAUUCACGUCGUAUUCAGGAACACAGUGUCACGAUUUCCGAUGUAUGUUGCGAAUCUCCUGUAUUUGUUUGCGAUCUUAUUUCCUGAAGUUUAAUCUUGGUAAUCACCAGACACAUGCAAUCUUUUAUUAAGCUUAAAAAUUCGACGCUAUAUUUACUUCUUGAGAGAUAUGCAAGAAUCAAAAUGCGUAAUCUGCCGACUGUCAAGUCAGCCACGGAAAACACACGCGUUACCCCGAUAAUGGUUUUAUUCUAUCUAAAGAUGGCGGAAAGCGACGCGCAAUCGAGCGACGCGGACGCCACCUGUCAUUUGCGUCGAUCCAGAGUUACAGCGGAACGAUAGAACGGAAGUAUGUGGAACGAAUGGAGCGAGAGAUAGAUCUCUCUCUCUCUCUCUCUCUCUCCCUCUUUCCAUUUCUUUUUUCUCAUCUUGACCUGCUGAGGUAUUCAACCGCCACCUCUUUGUAUGUUCAGCUUAUUCGAUUCUAUCACGGAACAAAGAUGAUGUCAUUCCCGGAAGAAGUUUUAUAUAUAAAUGUAAGUGAGAAUGAAAUAUUUUCUGCCACAAUGUCGACAUUUCUGGAAUACUAUAACAUUCUUUGUGGAGCGGCGAACUAACCAAGGUGGCAUUAUCGGGUGAUAGAUGUCUGCUCAACGGAUAGGUGAAAAUGACCAUUGGCAUUCCCGUGGGGACGAGGACGAGGAGGCAGAGGAGUAAGCUUCCAGCGGGUACACAGUCGUAUCGUCUGGCGCGCUUGAUGGAGUAGUCUCGCGGCUAAUGUCGAGCGAGGGUGAGUACAGGCCACGACGUGGACGACGAACGAUGCCUGAUUCAUCACUUCGCUCGGUAGCGCUCACGCUACUCCCAAGACGCAGACAAAUCAACGUACAUUCGAAAAUCGGAAGAGGAGGCGCACGCCAGGCGCCAGAACCUGGCCGGAGUACCUCCACAACCGUCAGGAUCGAUUGUAACUGGUGUCCCCGUGGGAAGGAAUCUGACUGCCCGCUAUAUCCUUGAAGAGGAUCACUGACCUCAGCGUAUCGACUACGCGAUUCAAACAGACGCUUUUACAUUAGAGGAUUGGAUUGGAGGGUCGACGUAUCACAGCACGGCGAUCAAAGCACGGAGGUCGCCAUGUAAUUAAACGCGGAUGAUUACAACGGAUCGUGUUCCCGCUUCAAUGACAAUCAGACUGGUUGUAUCUAUGUAGAUCGUUAAGUAUUUGAUUAUAUCAGAGUUCAUUAUUUAUAUAAGAAAGUCUAAGUUCAUGCUUUCUCAGAUUACAUUUUUUCAGAUACUGUCCGCGAGACACAACUCCUGCGGUACCGUUAUCAUCGCUAUCAUCGAACAGAAAGCUCUCAGUGAAGGUCAUCGAAAUCAGUGCACUCUGCAUGCCGAUCGGACGAUUUUAUGUGGCACAGCUGCGUUUAUCCGUCUCUUCCAAAUGUCGCGCGGCAUAUAAGUACCGGUUGACAACUCUUAUCGCGCUAAUGCUCGCGUGUGUGUAUGUAUAUGCGGAUAUGUGGAUAGAUUAUUGAAAAUCCUGAAACGGUAUCAAAGGAGACUCUGCCAUCAUAUGAGGAAAGAUGAUAAAAGUGAGCGUUUUCUCUAUAUCUCGUAAAAUCAGUCUCACACAUACAUAUACAUCUUACCACCCGCAAAACCACUCGUGUGCGCGACAUAUAAAUUUAUGCAUAAAGUACAUCACAAAAAUGAUAUGAAAAUAAUGUUUACUGAUUCUAUCAGUUAUCGAUUUUGAAAAGAUAUUUAUAAACUGAAAAUUGCAGUAAUAAUGAAUGUAUGAUAAUAGCUCGAA
Long non-coding RNA from Cataglyphis hispanica, 2476 nucleotides. RefSeq lists it as uncharacterized. Lineage: Eukaryota; Metazoa; Arthropoda; Insecta; Hymenoptera; Formicidae. The record is from RefSeq and is a predicted model, not a curated record. The transcript is spliced from 6 exons.